This 253-nucleotide ribosomal RNA is filed under the name uncultured bacterium. RNAcentral's name for it is "partial 16S ribosomal RNA". It matches the Rfam family "Bacterial small subunit ribosomal RNA", at positions 524 to 776 of the family's 1533-position model. The record is from RNAcentral.
UACGUAGGGUGCGAGCGUUAAUCGGAAUUACUGGGCGUAAAGCGUGCGCAGGCGGUUCUCCAAGUCCGUUGUGAAAGCCCCGGGCUCAACCUGGGAAUGGCAGUGGAAACUAGGGGACUUGAAUCUGGCAGAGGGGGGUGGAAUUCCACGUGUAGCAGUGAAAUGCGUAGAGAUGUGGAGGAACACCGAUGGCGAAGGCAGCCCCCUGGGCUAACACUGACGCUCAUGCACGAAAGCGUGGGGAGCAAACAGG